Molecule: ribosomal RNA, 883 nt
Filed under: uncultured archaeon
Lineage: Archaea
Description: bacterial SSU rRNA
Rfam family: Archaeal small subunit ribosomal RNA
Source: RNAcentral
CGGUUGAUCCUGCCGGACCCGACCACUAUUUGGGUGAGGAUAAGCCAUGCAAGUCGAAUGGGAUAAUUAUCCCAUGGCAAACUGCUCAAUAACACAUGAUCAACUUACCUAUAGAGAAACAUAACCUCGGGAAACUGAGGAAUGUUUCAUAAUUGAAAAGGCUUGGAAAAGUUUUUCAAUGAAAGGGAUAAAGAAAAUGGUCUUUAUCCGCUAUAGGAUAGGAUCGUGGUCGAUUAUGGUAGUUGGUGAGGUAAUGGCUCACCAAGCCGAUAAUCGAUGGGGGCCGUGAGAGCGGGAGCCCCGAGAUGGGUACUGAGACAACGACCCCAGGCCUUACGAGGCGCAGCAGGCGCGAAACCUCCGCAAUACACGAAAGUGUGACGGGGUUACCCAAAGUGCUCUUUCUAGAGCUGUGAUAGGUGAGUAAUGUUCCCUAUUAGAAAGGAGAGGGCAAGGCUGGUGCCAGCCGCCGCGGUAAAACCAGCUCUUCAAGUGGUCGGGAUAAUUAUUGGGCUUAAAGUGUCCGUAGCCGGUUUAGUAAGUUCCUGGUAAAAUCGGGUAGCUUAACUAUCCGUAUGCUAGGAAUACUACUAUACUAGAGGGCGGGAGAAGUCUGAGGUACUACAGGGGUAGGGGUGAAAUCUUAUAAUCCUUGUAGGACCACCAGUGGCGAAGGCGUCAGACUGGAACGCGCCUGACGGUGAGGGACGAAAGCCAGGGGAGCGAACCGGAUUAGAUACCCGGGUAGUCCUGGCUGUAAACGAUGCAUACUAGGUGAUGGCACGGCCAUGAGCCGUGUCAGUGCCGUAGGGAAACCGUUAAGUGUGCCGCCUGGGAAGUACGGUCGCAAGGCUAAAACUUAAAGGAAUUGGCGGGGGAGCAC